UUCUAUAUCUUUAAGUGAAUAUAAUAUUAAUUUCAUAAGAUUAUAUUUUAAUAUUUUAUAAAUCUAAAUAAAAUAGUCAAUAUCAUCUUAGAAAAGAAAAUAUGUGUUUUUUUAUAAAAUUUUUUAUAUACAAAAAUAAAAUAUUUAAUUUUUAUUAUUUAAUAUUAAGCAUUUUAAUUAUUUUAUAUAAA
This 191-nucleotide transfer RNA is filed under the name Pneumocystis jirovecii. RNAcentral describes it as "tRNA-Pseudo(CAT)". Lineage: Eukaryota; Fungi; Ascomycota; Pneumocystomycetes; Pneumocystales; Pneumocystaceae. The record is from RNAcentral.